This 1678-nucleotide ribosomal RNA is filed under the name metagenome. RNAcentral's name for it is "SSU rRNA". It matches the Rfam family "Eukaryotic small subunit ribosomal RNA", at positions 193 to 1801 of the family's 1831-position model. The record is from RNAcentral.
CGAGGCACUAACCAUGCGUGGUCGCAAGGCUGCGUAUGGGUCUCGGAUACCGGCGAGUCAUAACAAUUGAGCGAAUCGUAUGGCCUUUGCGCUGACGAUGCUCCAUUCGAAUUUCUGACCUAUCAACUUUCGAUGGUAGGAUCGGGGCCUACCAUGGUUGUAACGGGUAACGGGGAAUUAGGGUUUGAUUCCGGAGAGGGAGCUUGAGAAACGGCUACCACUUCCAAGGAAGGCAGCAGGCGCGUAAAUUACCCAAUCCCAAUACGGGGAGGUAGUGACAACAAAUAACAAUACAGGUCCCAAAGGGUCUUGUAAUUGGAAUGAGUACAAUUUAAACCCCUUAACGAGGAGCCAGUGGAGGGCAAGUCUGGUGCCAGCAGCCGCGGUAAUUCCAGCUCCACUAGUGUAUAUUAAAGUUGUUGCGGUUAAAAAGCUCGUAGUUGGAUUUCGGGGUUUUUUGGGAGGUUUUGGUCUGCGCUGAGUCGUAUGUACUAACCACCCGGCCCCUAUCCUUCUGGAUGCUCGUUGCUGCUCUUAACUGAGUGGUGAUUAAGGGGAGUAUUGGGAUUCGUUCUCUUUAUUUUCCGGAGUUCCAGAUCGUUUACUUUGAAAAAAUUAGAGUGUUCAAAGCAGGCGGAUUGAGCCUUUGAAUACAUUAGCAUGGGAUAAUGCAUAGGACUCUGUUCCUAUUUCGUUGGUUUCUGGGAAUGGAGUAAUGAUUAAUAGGGAUAGUUGGGGUGAUUCAUAUUUAUUUGUCAGAGGUGAAAUUCUUGGAUUUCAGAAAGAUGAACUUCUGCGAAAGCAUUUCACAAGGAUGUUUUCAUUAAUCAAGAACGAAAGUUGGGGGAUCGAAGACGAUUAGAUACCGUCGUAGUCUCAACCAUAAACCAUGCCGACCAGGGAUUGGAGGAAGUUACCUUAAUGACUCCUCCGGCACCUUGUGAGAAAUCACAAGUGUUUGGGUUUCGGGGGGAGUAUAGUCGCAAGGCUGAAACUUAAAGGAAUUGACGGAAGGGCACCACCAGGAGUGGAACCUGCGGCUUAAUUUGACCCAACACGGGAAAACUUACCAGGUCCGGACAGCAGAAGGAUUGACAGAUUGAGAGCUCUUUCUUGAUUUGCUGGGUGGUGGUGCAUGGCCGUUCUUAGUUGGUGGAGUGAUUUGUCUGGUUAAUUCCGUUAACGAACGAGACCUUAACCUGCUAAAUAGUUACGCUAGCCAUUCUAUUCAGGUCUUCUUUCGGGAUGAUCGGGACGGCUAAGCGGUUAACUUCUUAGAGGGACUAUUCGUUUACAGCGAAUGGAAGUUUGAGGCAAUGACAGGUCUGUGAUGCCCUUCGAUGUUCUGGGCUGCACGCGCGCUACACUGAUGAAGUCAACGAGUUUUUAACCUUGCCCGAAAGGGUUGGGUAAUCUUAUUAAACUUCAUCGUGCUGGGGAUAGAUCAUUGCAAUUAUUGAUCUUCAACGAGGAAUUCCUAGUAAAUGUGAGUCAUCAGCUCGCGUUGAUUACGUCCCUGCCCUUUGUACACACCGCCCGUCGCUCCUACCGAUUGGAUGGUCCGGUGAAGACCUCGGAUUAUCUGGCAUCUGUCUGACUAGGGAAACUUGGUCAGUAAUGCCGGUGAGAAGUCGUCUAAACCUUAUCAUCUAGAGGAAGGAGAAGUCGUAACAAGGUU